CCAGGGAUAGACAAGAGACUAGGGUUAUCCCUCCCCAAGCCCUGCCCGAGCAAAGGAAGGGUAAACACUAGCCUCUUGUCUCACUCAGCCUCCAUAUGUCUCUCCAGCAUCCAACACAGUGCUUAACUCUCUAGCUGAGAGGCAGCACAACACACCCACAGAACUAGACUACAUGGAUUCUAGUUCUGACAUUUCCACCAUGUUUCUAUGACCUGGGCCAGUCAUCCAAUCCCUCUGUGCCUCAGUUUCCUCAUCCCUGAAGCACAGCUCUUGUCAAGAAGUGGCUGAUUCUGCCUCCCGCUGUCUUAGAUAAAUGACAAUGGCCAGGUCCUUGGCAAAUCCCUGAACACUGUGGAGCCAGGCCACUGAGGCCUGGGGGGGAUGUGGAAGGCAGGAAGUCAGCUCGGCCUGCGUCCAAGAAGACACAGUCCCGGAACCCCAAACAGUGACUUCCACGCUAGCCUUCUGACUUCAGAUGCUGCUCAUCACGACGCUGAAGGAGUGUGUCUGCGUUCAGUGCCUUAAACCAAGAAGUUUC
Molecule: long non-coding RNA, 538 nt
Organism: Talpa occidentalis (Iberian mole)
Lineage: Eukaryota; Metazoa; Chordata; Mammalia; Eulipotyphla; Talpidae
Exons: 4
Source: RefSeq, a predicted model, not a curated record